RNAcentral lists this microRNA precursor (91 nucleotides) under Python bivittatus (Burmese python). RNAcentral's name for it is "microRNA pbv-mir-124a precursor (pbv-mir-124a-2)". Its record names the gene pbv-mir-124a-2. The stretch from base 10 to 81 matches the Rfam family "mir-124 microRNA precursor family". From Rfam's summary of the family: The mature ~21nt miRNAs are processed from hairpin precursor sequences represented here, in this case originating from the 3' arm. The bounds of the precursors are predicted based on conservation and base pairing and are not generally known. Lineage: Eukaryota; Metazoa; Chordata; Lepidosauria; Squamata; Pythonidae. The record is from miRBase by way of RNAcentral.
CCUGGGCCCUUCUCUCCGUGUUCACAGCGGACCUUGAUUUAAUGUCCAUACAAUUAAGGCACGCGGUGAAUGCCAAGAGACCGGUUCCCCU